This 64-nucleotide microRNA precursor is filed under the name Marmota monax (woodchuck). The record is from RNAcentral. Lineage: Eukaryota; Metazoa; Chordata; Mammalia; Rodentia; Sciuridae.
ACUUAUGGAUGUACAAAGAAAAGGGUUCUUGAGAUGGAAUAUACUCUAUUGAACAUGCUGUGAA